GGCUUGAAGAUGCCCUAGGGUUUCGAAGGUCACGGAUUUGGAGAGGUUGGAAUCAGGGAGGUGUUGUUGGAUUAGGGGAAGGAAUCAGAUCAGACUCGUGCUAGGUUUUCCCUUGAUCGGAUCAGUGGACCUCCACCUCCUUGCUGUUGAUUGAGGUCUCGAAUUGAAGGUUAGGUACUGUGGGGUUUUGGUUGGUGGUCAGUAAUUGCAUCCGGGCAGAAAGGUAGAUUCUAGCAGCUCAUUUGGCAGGACCUCUUUCCGGCAGCCCUCUUGUUGACUGAGCUUGAGGUUGAGGCCGUCAGGAGAGAUUCCAGUCGCUAGCCCCAUUAUCGCGAGGAUUUUC
Long non-coding RNA from Zingiber officinale, 343 nucleotides. RefSeq lists it as uncharacterized. NCBI's taxonomy places the organism in Eukaryota, Viridiplantae, Streptophyta, Magnoliopsida, Zingiberales, Zingiberaceae. The transcript is spliced from 4 exons. The record is from RefSeq and is a predicted model, not a curated record.